AUACGGAGGGUGCAAGCGUUGUUCGGAAUCACUGGGCGUAAAGGGCGCGCAGGCGGUUUGGUAAGUCAGAUGUGAAAGCCCACGGCUCAACCGUGGAAGUGCAUUUGAAACUGCCAGACUUGAGUACCAGAGGGGAAAGUGGAAUUCCCGGUGUAGAGGUGAAAUUCGUAGAUAUCGGGAGGAAUACCGGUGGCGAAGGCGACUUUCUGGCUGGAUACUGACGCUGAGGCGCGAAAGCGUGGGGAGCAAACAGGAUUAGAAACCCUUGUAGUCC
This 274-nucleotide ribosomal RNA is filed under the name uncultured bacterium. Its description in RNAcentral is "partial 16S ribosomal RNA". It matches the Rfam family "Bacterial small subunit ribosomal RNA", at positions 523 to 796 of the family's 1533-position model. The record is from RNAcentral.